Molecule: non-coding RNA, 31 nt
Filed under: Homo sapiens (human)
Lineage: Eukaryota; Metazoa; Chordata; Mammalia; Primates; Hominidae
Source: RNAcentral
UGUGGACUGUCUCAGGAGGCAGAGGGGCACC